Molecule: transfer RNA, 81 nt
Filed under: Blyttiomyces helicus
Lineage: Eukaryota; Fungi; Chytridiomycota; Chytridiomycetes
Rfam family: tRNA
About the family: Transfer RNA (tRNA) molecules are approximately 80 nucleotides in length. Their secondary structure includes four short double-helical elements and three loops (D, anti-codon, and T loops).
Source: Rfam by way of RNAcentral
GCCCGGCUAGCUCAAUCGGUAGAGCGUGAGACUCUUACAACAGAUAUCUCAAGGUUGCGGGUUCGACCCCCGCGUUGGGCU